This 779-nucleotide ribosomal RNA is filed under the name uncultured Enterobacteriaceae bacterium. RNAcentral describes it as "bacterial SSU rRNA". It matches the Rfam family "Bacterial small subunit ribosomal RNA", at positions 717 to 1502 of the family's 1533-position model. The record is from RNAcentral. Lineage: Bacteria; Pseudomonadati; Pseudomonadota; Gammaproteobacteria; Enterobacterales; Enterobacteriaceae.
GAAGGCGGCUUUCUGGACAGUACUGACGCUGAGAUGCGAAGCGUGGGGAGCAAACAGGAUUAGAUACCUGGUAGUCACGCUGUAAACGAUGUCGAUUUGGAGUUUGUGCCUAGAUGAUGGGCUCCGAAGCUAACGCGAUAAAUCGACCGCCUGGGGAGUACGGCCGCAAGGUUAAAACUCAAAUGAAUUGACGGGGGCCCGCACAAGCGGUGGAGCAUGUGGUUUAAUUCGAUGCAACGCGAAGAACCUUACCUGGUCUUGACAUCCAUAGAAUUCUGCAGAGAUGUGGGAGUGCCUUCGGGAACUAUGAGACAGGUGCUGCAUGGCUGUCGUCAGCUCGUGUUGUGAAAUGUUGGGUUAAGUCCCGCAACGAGCGCAACCCUUAUUCUUUGUUGCCAGCGAUUUGGUCGGGAACUCAAAGGAGACUGCCGUUGAUAAAGCGGAGGAAGGUGGGGACGACGUCAAGUCAUCAUGGCCCUUACGACCAGGGCUACACACGUGCUACAAUGGCGUAUACAAAGGGAAGCGAAGGUGCGAGCUGGAGCGGAUCUCAUAAAGUACGUCUAAGUUCGGAUUGGAGUCUGCGACUCGACUCCAUGAAGUCGGAAUCGCUAGUAAUCGUAGAUCAGAAUGCUACGGUGAAUACGUUCCCGGGCCUUGUACACACCGCCCGUCACACCAUGGGAGUGGGUUGCACCAGAAGUAGAUAGCUUAACCGCGAGGGGGGCGUUUACCACGGUGUGAUUCAUGACUGGGGUGAAGUCGUAACAAGGUAACCA